This is a long non-coding RNA of Gossypium arboreum, 2177 nucleotides long. RefSeq lists it as uncharacterized. The transcript has 8 exons. Lineage: Eukaryota; Viridiplantae; Streptophyta; Magnoliopsida; Malvales; Malvaceae. The record is from RefSeq and is a predicted model, not a curated record.
CAGUAAAAUCAACAGCUGGAUUCCAAUAGGCUUUGUCAUUUCCAUCACCGACCAGCUAUUUAAUGAUAGCAGUUUUUCAAAAAGAGACUUUUAAUUUUCUCUGCUAUUUUUUUCACCAAAACAUUUCCAUCUUCCUCUCUUCAAUAUGAAUACCUUGGUCUAUAAAUCUAUAGUUCUUGACGAACAGAUUCAGAGAUUCCUCCCACCAGUGAAUGAUCGCCUUUAAUGCUAGAAUCUCCCCUUCCUCGUUUCGUACAAGUAGGCGCGUAGCCGAUCUAGAAGAUUGACUGUCAAAGGCUGUAUCAAAAUGAACUGUGACUUUUGAUCUUCGACAAAUCUGGUGAAUGGUUCUAUCAACCUGAAAGAGACCACAACAGAAAUGUCGGAUCUGUUCGUUAGUAACUAGACGGAAGACCUAGGACAUUAUUGAAAGACAUGGCUACUAUCCUUUUCAUGUUGAAGACAGUGGGGCACUGAUCAUUCAACACAACUCUCUUGUGUCUGAGAUUAACAAAGGACGGAAUAAAGUUUCAAGAGAUUCUCCAUACUAUUAUUUUAAUUUUUGAGGGGAUGUAUAAAUUCCAUAGUUUCUUGUAGAAGUUUUUAGCUUCGGCAUGUACAAUAUAACUACUAGGAUCCAAGUUAGACUUCUAUAAUAGUUUAUAGGCACUCCUGACUAAAAAAUCCCCGAACAGUUCCCCUCACCAUACUUGAAAAUCUUUAUGCGCUGUCUCUGCCAAUGGAAUCUGCAUGAUUUUUUUCCUGCGUCCAAACAAAAGACCUUUCUCAAGGAGUCCUCUUGCUGCCCAGACACUCUUCCAGAUUUCCCCUUUCCUAAGUGAACCAAUUCCCCGAAUAACCCACAUCAACCAAAUUGCAAUCUUCAAGCACCUUAUAAAAGGCUUCCAUCCUUCUCUCCUCACGAGGAGUAUAGCCAAUAGCGUGGGAAGACAAUUGCUAAAGCUGUUAAGAAUAUUGAAGAUGUGACUGCCAUCAACAGAGAAGACACAAAAAAACCUAAAGACUUGCCAAAGAGGGCAAACAGUAACGUGCUAAGGUAGCAGACUAUUAUUUUUAAAAUAACUUCAUUCAUAAACAUUAAAGAAUUCCAUGUCAAUAUUUUUAACUAUGCCAAAAUUGUUAGUAUUUUACCAAUAAAUUCUUUUAUGUAGACUGCUGCGUAAUUAUAAAAGCUGAUUCAGAUGCAAAACAUAAGCUCUUAAAUUUUCUGAUUCCAUUCUAAGCUGCAAUCUACAAAACAUGGUAGAAACCGAUGGAAUUUUAGAAAGCUUAUUAUUUGAAUUGGAAAUUUUCAAUUCCAUCGCCUCAAAAUCAGAACCCAGUCAACAAAUAAAGCAGCCAAGGUCGAUGGUGAUGAUCCGAGACUCCUUUCCUCAAUCCGACCUCUCCAUCUUCCCUCCUAUCAACCAUGAAAAUCUCCAUUAUCAAAUUCAACAACAACAACAAAACCCAGUUUCCGAACCAUCUCUGUUACCGCCGUCUGGUGCCGGUGAUGUCAUCCAAUCAUACGGUGAUCAUGGGUUCGGAGUUUGGUUGGGGACUUUGGUUCAGAUUGUGCGUGCUAAGAUCGUUACCCUCGCCUGUUAUUUCAAUUAUGAAAACGGGACCAUUGGAAGGGCAUUUCGGUCUUUUAGGGGGAUAGCUGACGUGGCGCUCCUGGUGCUCUUAUGGUGGUUGUGCAAGCGGAUACGGCAGCGGAGGUGCGGGGAAGAGAGCAUGGAACAGUUGAAAACAAUAAUAAAAGAGAAAGACGAGGUAUGGUAUUUGUUGAAAUGCAAAAUUGUGGGAUUGUUGAACCAGAUUGCCCAAAUGAAUGCAAGUAUGGGUAGCAAGUCGUAAAUCUCAAGCUUUCAAAGGCUGACCCAGUGAUCACAUGUGGUUCAAGAUUCACCGAUUUUGAUGGCAAUCCUGGAGGUAAUUUUUAAGACCAAAACAUCAGCAUUUCUCUAUUACUAUUGAUUGCCGUGUAGUUAUAGUGUAUGGAGUCUAUUCUUUCCCCUAAUUUAUGCUUUCCACAUAUAUGAUUAGUGAGUAUUGUUUUGUUAUCGGGUUUAUGGUUAUGAUCCCAAAGCUCCUGCAUUGUUUUCUCUCACUGCAAUCUUCUUCUUCUUUUGGUUUAAAACAUACUUAACUAUAUAAAAUUUACAUUUUAAAAA